UACGGAGGGGGCAAGCGUUGUUCGGAGUCACUGGGCGUAAAGGGCGCGUAGGCGGUGCGUAAAGUCAGGCGUGAAAGCCCCGGGCUUAACCUGGGAAUUGCGCUUGAUACUGACGUGCUAGAGAACGGGAGAGGAUGGCGGAAUUCCCAGUGUAGAGGUGAAAUUCGUAGAUAUUAGGAAGAACACCAGUGGCGAAGGCGGCCCACUGGAUCGGUACUGACGCUGAGGUGCGAAAGCGUGGGGAGCAAACAGGG
RNAcentral lists this ribosomal RNA (254 nucleotides) under uncultured bacterium. RNAcentral's name for it is "partial 16S ribosomal RNA". It matches the Rfam family "Bacterial small subunit ribosomal RNA", at positions 524 to 777 of the family's 1533-position model. The record is from RNAcentral.